AUGUGCGAUCUGCCUCCCGCGGCGGGCCGAGUCUCCAGGAAGGACCUGAGUUUUCUUUACCCAUGGUCAGGGAGGCGCCAUCGCCCUGGCUUUGGGGCUGGGGCCUCAGGGGAGGUUCCGGUAGGGGCCUUGGAGAGGCUGCUCUUUUUGCAAGGCCCGACACGGCGGGCCCUGCGCAGGCCACCCUAUUCCCCGCCCUCAGGGCGUCAGUAUCCGCCUGAGGCCGGAUACCCCCGCUGGGCCCAGAUGCUCCCUCUGGGCCCGGAGCAUCCUCGGCGCUGCCCUCCCAGAGCCCCGCAGAGGCUGAAGUGGCGCGGGGUAGGGGGGCCCGGCUCCGCGAGAAGCGGCGGCAGCGAGGGCUGGAGGACCCGGGCUCCCGGGCUCCGGGUCUCCGGGGCUCCGGGGGGUCUGGCCUGGGUGGGACUGAGCCCAUCCAGGAACUGGGACUCCGGGGUUCUGGUGUGGGUGGAUCCGGGGCAGGCUCAGGACCAAGUCCCUCUCCUUCCACCAAGAAGCGCCCAGAGGCCGGCGGGAGCUCCAGGUUCACCUCCUCCUCCUCCAGGAAAACCCACUUCCAACUGGAUGUCUGGAUGAACUACUGAAAGCUGCUGAGUGUCCUGCAGCAGGUGAGCUGUGGCCAGAGCCCAAGAAUGAAGGGGGCUCCCUCAGUCUGUGACUGUGAAGAGGAAGCCUGAGGUUUAGCAGGCUCAGGCCCCAGAAGUAUGGAAAAAAUGAGGUAGGGAGGGAGGGGUCCUCAGGAUAAGACUGAGGUCUACAGAAUUCCAGGGUCAAGGGGAUGGUGCGGUGUCCUGGUGCUGUCCUUGAUGUUCCAAGAGGGGAGAGAAUCCAUUUCCUGAGUAAAAGCUUCACAUGGGGUGAGGAGGGGAGAAGUGAACAGAGAGGAAACAGGGAAGGCCAAGACAGAGACCAGCCUUACAG
RNAcentral lists this long non-coding RNA (939 nucleotides) under Pongo abelii (Sumatran orangutan). Its description in RNAcentral is "lincRNA". Lineage: Eukaryota; Metazoa; Chordata; Mammalia; Primates; Hominidae. The record is from RNAcentral.